AAUAGAUACCCGGGUAGUCCACGCCGUAAACGAUGGAUGCUAGCUGUUAGUCGGUAUCGACCCCGGUAGUGGCGAAGCUAACGCGUUAAGCAUCCCGCCUGUGGAGUACGGUCGCAAGACUAAAACAUAAAGGAAUUGACGGGGACCCGCACAAGCGGUGGAGCGUGUUGUUUAAUUCGAUGAUAAGCGAAGAACCUUACCCAGGCUUGACAUCCUAGGAAGGUCUCCAAAAGGAGACUGUGCCUUGUGAGCCUAGUGACAGGUGAUGCAUGGCCGUCGUCAGCUCGUGUCGUGAGAUGUUUGGUUAAGUCCAUCAACGAGCGCAACCCUUGUGAUUAGUUGAAUUUUUCUAAUCAGACUGCCCUGGUAACAGGGAGGAAGAGGGGAUGAUGUCAGGUCAGUAUCUCCCUUACGUCUGGGGCUACAAACACGCUACAAUGGCCGGUACAAAGGGCAGCCAAGUCGCGAGACGGAGCAAAGUCCCAUCAAAGCCGGUCCCAGUUCGGAUAGCAGGCUGAAACUCGCCUG
Molecule: ribosomal RNA, 528 nt
Filed under: uncultured bacterium
Lineage: Bacteria
Description: bacterial SSU rRNA
Rfam family: Bacterial small subunit ribosomal RNA
Source: RNAcentral